RNAcentral lists this long non-coding RNA (798 nucleotides) under Coturnix japonica (Japanese quail). Its description in RNAcentral is "lncRNA (ENSCJPG00005001883.1)". The record is from RNAcentral. Lineage: Eukaryota; Metazoa; Chordata; Aves; Galliformes; Phasianidae.
AGGAAGAAAAAAAAAAAAAAAGAAUGUGGAAAAGUAUGAAUUCAACCCCAAAUCCAACGUCAUCACGCUCCGGCUGUCAAGUGUUGUAGGUACCAGUGGUGCAUCUCAGAGUUGUGGCAGCGCCAAGAGACAAAAGUGGAGGAGCAAUUAAUAAGUAACAAAAAAAAGGCAAUUUAAGAUAAUAAUGAUGAGAAAAAAAAAGAUGAGGAAAUAAAAACUAUGGACCCUCAGGAUUGAAAGAUUUGAGCCGAGAAAGGGGAAAAAUCUCAGCAUCCAGGAGCUUUUCUGCAGGGAGAUUUGAGGAUAAAAGCCACAGAUUUGGGUAACUGAGACUCUCAGAAGUGUUUUAGCCUUGAACCGUCGGAUUUUGAGGGCAAAAAAGGCAAAAAGCAAAGGGCGCUGGGUGUUGGCAGCAAAGGGAUCUUCGGCACAGAUCAGUGAGAGCACCAAAACUGCGGGAAUUUGCCCCAAAACCGAGGCAGCGUGGACUCCUGAGGCGAAAAGGCAGAGAGAAACACGGCAGCAAAACCAUCUCCCCCAUAAAAAAAAACAAAAAGCUACGUAUAGGAUAAGGGAGGAAAAAAAAAUAGGUAUUUGUGCUGUUUUUCACCCAAAUUGGAGAUGUGGGUGGAUUCGGGGCGAUGGCGUUAGGUUCACCCCGGGGUGGGUCGGCCCCAUUUCAGCCCUAAUUUUGCUUGUUUUCUACCCAUUUGAGAAUGAAAAACAAACGGUGGCAGGAAAUGCCCCCCCAAAAUGGCUGGAAAUGGCCCCAAAAUGGCCGAAAAUGGCCCCAAAAUG